CAGCGUUUGACAUGUCCGGACGAUUUCCAGAGAUGGAUCUCUUCCCUUCGGGGACUGGAACACAGGUGCUGCAUGGCUGUCGUCAGCUCGUGUCGUGAGAUGUUGGGUUAAGUCCCGCAACGAGCGCAACCCUCGUCCUUAGUUGCCAUCAUUUAGUUGGGCACUCUAAGGAAACCGCCGGUGAUAAGCCGGAGGAAGGUGGGGAUGACGUCAAGUCCUCAUGGCCCUUACGCGCUGGGCUACACACGUGCUACAAUGGCGGUGACAGUGGGCAGCAAUCCUGCAAGGGUGAGCUAAUCUCCAAAAGCCGUCUCAGUUCGGAUUGUUCUCUGCAACUCGAGAGCAUGAAGGCGGAAUCGCUAGUAAUCGCGGAUCAGCAUGCCGCGGUGAAUA
This 393-nucleotide ribosomal RNA is filed under the name uncultured soil bacterium. RNAcentral's name for it is "bacterial SSU rRNA". It matches the Rfam family "Bacterial small subunit ribosomal RNA", at positions 975 to 1368 of the family's 1533-position model. The record is from RNAcentral.